UACGGAGGGUGCAAGCAUUAAUCGGAUUUAUUGGGCGUAAAGGGCGCGUAGGCGGAGAUGUAAGUCAGAUGUGAAAUCCCGGGGCUCAACUCCGGAACAGCAUUUGAUACUGCUUCUCUUGAGGGUAGGCGGAGAAAAUGGAAUUCCACAAGUAGCGGUGAAAUGCGUAGAUAUGUGGAAGAACACCGGUGGCGAAGGCGAUUUUCUAGCUUAUACCUGACGCUGAUGCGCGAAAGCAAGGGGAUCAAACAGG
Molecule: ribosomal RNA, 253 nt
Filed under: uncultured bacterium
Lineage: Bacteria
Description: partial 16S ribosomal RNA
Rfam family: Bacterial small subunit ribosomal RNA
Source: RNAcentral